This 2831-nucleotide ribosomal RNA is filed under the name Yersinia mollaretii. RNAcentral describes it as "partial 23S ribosomal RNA". It matches the Rfam family "Bacterial large subunit ribosomal RNA". The record is from RNAcentral. Lineage: Bacteria; Pseudomonadati; Pseudomonadota; Gammaproteobacteria; Enterobacterales; Yersiniaceae.
CGUUACAACCGACGAUACCCGAAUGGGGAAACCCAGUGCAAUUCGUUGCACUAUUGCAUGGUGAAUACAUAGCCAUGCAAGGCGAACCGGGGGAACUGAAACAUCUAAGUACCCCGAGGAAAAGAAAUCAACCGAGAUUCCCCCAGUAGCGGCGAGCGAACGGGGAAGAGCCCAGAGUCUGAAUCAGUUUGUGUGUUAGUGGAAGCGUCUGGAAAGUCGCACGGUACAGGGUGAUAGUCCCGUACACAAAAACACACCUUCUGUGAACUCGAUGAGUAGGGCGGGACACGUGACAUCCUGUCUGAAUAUGGGGGGACCAUCCUCCAAGGCUAAAUACUCCUGACUGACCGAUAGUGAACCAGUACCGUGAGGGAAAGGCGAAAAGAACCCCGGCGAGGGGAGUGAAAUAGAACCUGAAACCGUGUACGUACAAGCAGUGGGAGCACCUUCGUGGUGUGACUGCGUACCUUUUGUAUAAUGGGUCAGCGACUUAUAUUUUGUAGCAAGGUUAACCGAAUAGGGGAGCCGUAGGGAAACCGAGUCUUAACUGGGCGUCUAGUUGCAAGGUAUAGACCCGAAACCCGGUGAUCUAGCCAUGGGCAGGUUGAAGGUUGGGUAACACUAACUGGAGGACCGAACCGACUAAUGUUGAAAAAUUAGCGGAUGACUUGUGGCUGGGGGUGAAAGGCCAAUCAAACCGGGAGAUAGCUGGUUCUCCCCGAAAGCUAUUUAGGUAGCGCCUCGUGAACUCAUCUUCGGGGGUAGAGCACUGUUUCGGCUAGGGGGUCAUCCCGACUUACCAAACCGAUGCAAACUCCGAAUACCGAAGAAUGUUAUCACGGGAGACACACGGCGGGUGCUAACGUCCGUCGUGAAGAGGGAAACAACCCAGACCGCCAGCUAAGGUCCCAAAGUCAUGGUUAAGUGGGAAACGAUGUGGGAAGGCAUAGACAGCCAGGAUGUUGGCUUAGAAGCAGCCAUCAUUUAAAGAAAGCGUAAUAGCUCACUGGUCGAGUCGGCCUGCGCGGAAGAUGUAACGGGGCUAAACCAUGCACCGAAGCUGCGGCAGCGACGCUUAGGCGUUGUUGGGUAGGGGAGCGUUCUGUAAGCCGUUGAAGGUGGCCUGUGAGGGCUGCUGGAGGUAUCAGAAGUGCGAAUGCUGACAUAAGUAACGAUAAUGCGGGUGAAAAACCCGCACGCCGGAAGACCAAGGGUUCCUGUCCAACGUUAAUCGGGGCAGGGUGAGUCGACCCCUAAGGCGAGGCUGAAAAGCGUAGUCGAUGGGAAACAGGUUAAUAUUCCUGUACUUGGUGUUACUGCGAAGGGGGGACGGAGAAGGCUAGGCUAGCCGGGCGACGGUUGUCCCGGUUUAAGCAUGUAGGCGGAGCGACUUGGUAAAUCCGGUUGCUUAUCAACGCUGAGGUGUGAUGACGAUGCACUACGGUGCAGAAGUAGUUGAUGCCAAGCUUCCAGGAAAAGCCUCUAAGCAUCAGGUAACAUUGAAUCGUACCCCAAACCGACACAGGUGGUCAGGUAGAGAAUACUCAGGCGCUUGAGAGAACUCGGGUGAAGGAACUAGGCAAAAUGGUGCCGUAACUUCGGGAGAAGGCACGCUGGCAUUAGGUAAAGAGACUUGCUCUCGGCGCCGAAGCCAGUCGCAGAUACCAGCUGGCUGCAACUGUUUAAUAAAAACACAGCACUGUGCAAACACGAAAGUGGACGUAUACGGUGUGACGCCUGCCCGGUGCUGGAAGGUUAAUUGAUGGGGUCAGCCGCAAGGCGAAGCUCUUGAUCGAAGCCCCAGUAAACGGCGGCCGUAACUAUAACGGUCCUAAGGUAGCGAAAUUCCUUGUCGGGUAAGUUCCGACCUGCACGAAUGGCGUAAUGAUGGCCAGGCUGUCUCCACCCGAGACUCAGUGAAAUUGAACUCGCUGUGAAGAUGCAGUGUACCCGCGGCAAGACGGAAAGACCCCGUGAACCUUUACUAUAGCUUGACACUGAACAUUGAGCCUUGAUGUGUAGGAUAGGUGGGAGGCAUCGAAGUGUGGACGCCAGUCUGCAUGGAGCCAACCUUGAAAUACCACCCUUUAAUGUUUGAUGUUCUAACUCGGCCCCAUAAUCUGGGGUGAGGACAGUGUCUGGUGGGUAGUUUGACUGGGGCGGUCUCCUCCCAAAGAGUAACGGAGGAGCACGAAGGUUAGCUAAUCACGGUCGGACAUCGUGAGGUUAGUGCAAAGGCAUAAGCUAGCUUGACUGCGAGAGUGACGGCUCGAGCAGGUACGAAAGUAGGUCUUAGUGAUCCGGUGGUUCUGAAUGGAAGGGCCAUCGCUCAACGGAUAAAAGGUACUCCGGGGAUAACAGGCUGAUACCGCCCAAGAGUUCAUAUCGACGGCGGUGUUUGGCACCUCGAUGUCGGCUCAUCACAUCCUGGGGCUGAAGUAGGUCCCAAGGGUAUGGCUGUUCGCCAUUUAAAGUGGUACGCGAGCUGGGUUUAGAACGUCGUGAGACAGUUCGGUCCCUAUCUGCCGUGGGCGUUGGAAGAUUGAGAGGGGCUGCUCCUAGUACGAGAGGACCGGAGUGGACGAAUCACUGGUGUUCGGGUUGUCAUGCCAAUGGCAUUGCCCGGUAGCUAAAUUCGGAAGAGAUAACCGCUGAAAGCAUCUAAGCGGGAAACUUGCCUCGAGAUGAGUCUUCCCUGGGGCUUUAAGCCCCCUGAAGGAACGUUAAAGACUAUGACGUUGAUAGGCUGGGUGUGUAAGUGCAGCGAUGCAUUGAGCUAACCAGUACUAAUGAUCCGUGAGGCUUAACCUUACAACACCAAAGGUGUUUUG